Molecule: ribosomal RNA, 253 nt
Filed under: uncultured bacterium
Lineage: Bacteria
Description: partial 16S ribosomal RNA
Rfam family: Bacterial small subunit ribosomal RNA
Source: RNAcentral
UACGGGGGGGGCAAGCGUUGUUCGGAAUUACUGGGCGUAAAGGGCUCGUAGGCGGCCAACUAAGUCAGACGUGAAAUCCCUCAGCUUAACUGGGGAACUGCGUCUGAUACUGGAUGGCUUGAGAUUGGGAGAGGGAUGCGGAAUUCCAGGUGUAGCGGUGAAAUGCGUAGAUAUCUGGAGGAACACCGGUGGCGAAGGCGGCAUCCUGGACCAUCACUGACGCUGAGGAGCGAAAGCCAGGGGAGCAAACGGG